This 549-nucleotide ribosomal RNA is filed under the name uncultured organism. RNAcentral's name for it is "bacterial SSU rRNA". It matches the Rfam family "Bacterial small subunit ribosomal RNA", at positions 897 to 1459 of the family's 1533-position model. The record is from RNAcentral.
AAACUCAAACGAAUCGUUGGGGGUCCGCACAAGCAGCGGAGCGUGUGGUUUAAUUAGAUGCUACUCGAAGAACCUUACGUGGGUGUGACAUGCAAGUGGUAGGGAACCGAAAGGGGACCGACCUUCGGGAGCGUGCACAGGUGCUGCAUGGCUGUCGUCAGAUAGCACCGUGAGGUGUCGGGGUAAGUCCUGUAACGAGCGCAACCCUUGCCCUUAGUUACAAGUCUUUAAGGGGACUUCCCGGGACAACUGGGAGGAAGGUGGGGAUGACGUCAAGUCAGCAUGGCCUUUAUAUUCAUGGUUUCACACACGCUACAAUGGCCGGUACAAUAGGUUGCGAAGUCGUGAGGCGGAGCCAAUCCUCAAAGCCGGUCUCAGUUCGAAUUGCAGUCUGCAACUCGACUGCAUGAAGCUGGAGUUGCUAGUAAUCGCAGGUCAGAUAUUCUGCGGUGAAUACGUUCCCGGGCCUUGUACACACCGCCCGUCACGUCACGGAAGCUGGCAACGCUAGAAGCCGGUGAGCUCACCCGAAAGGGAGGCACCCGUCGA